UGCCCCGACCAAGACCCUCCCGGCAGACACUGGGGGCGGGCCGCUGUGCAUUCUGGGGGUUGUGGUUCCCGGCGGCAGCUCCCGGCAGGCAGUGCGGCGGCUGCGCAGGCGCAGCGAGAGCGGUGGCCAGAGAGACUGGGUACCUGAGGUGAGACGUCAGUCAGCGGUUCAACCGGCAGCAUGAAUCUGGAGCGAGUGAGCAACGAAGAUAAACUGAACCUGUGUCGCAAAUACUAUCUGGGUUUAGUCUGUGGGUGCGUCUUAAUUGGAUCAAAGCCAGCUCGUCUGGGUACUUUGAAAGGUGGAUUUGCACUGUUGCCGUUCCUGUGGCUGGUGAACGUGGUUUGGUUCUUCAGAGAAGCUUUCAUGAAACCUCAGUUCAACGAACAGGCUCAGAUCAAGAAAUAUGUGAAGUGGUCAGGAGUGGGUCUCCUGAUGUGGAUCACUGCCCUCACCACAUGGAUCAGCAUUUACCAGACAUUUCGACCAGACUGGGGAGCUGUCGGUGAUUAUAUCUCCUUCACCAUUCCCUUGGGAAUUCCCUGAGGAGUCACUUGCAGUUCAGGUGGACGUUCUGGGAGCAGUCAGCUGACUGGGAUUGUAUUCACAUCAUAUCGCCCGCUCACAGCCCUGGGACAUCCUCCUUCACCAUGAUUUAAUACAGGCACCUUCACCAUGAUUUAAUACAGUGGUUCUAGUUUCUGUAACGAGGAGUAACUGGGAUCUGAAGGAGUUUGUUGCUGAGCUUUCUACGAGAGGUUCCUGCGUGAAGUUUAAGUCACUGUUUGCAAUUGUGUCCUGAAUAAAUUGGUCAUUAUUUACA
RNA transcript from Carcharodon carcharias (great white shark), 823 nucleotides. It is a transcript of the gene named presenilin enhancer, gamma-secretase subunit, with no coding region annotated. NCBI's taxonomy places the organism in Eukaryota, Metazoa, Chordata, Chondrichthyes, Lamniformes, Lamnidae. The transcript is spliced from 6 exons. The record is from RefSeq and is a predicted model, not a curated record.